Molecule: non-coding RNA, 83 nt
Filed under: uncultured Prevotella sp.
Lineage: Bacteria; Pseudomonadati; Bacteroidota; Bacteroidia; Bacteroidales; Prevotellaceae
Source: RNAcentral
AGUCAAGGGGUGCCCUACCAUUUGGGCUGAGAUUACACCCUCGAACCUGAUCCGGGUAAUGCCGGCGGAGGAAACUGUUUUAU